ACUCCUACGGGAGGCAGCAGUGGGGAAUUUUGGACAAUGGGGGCAACCCUGAUCCAGCCAUGCCGCGUGCGGGAAGAAGGCCUUCGGGUUGUAAACCGCUUUUGUCAGGGAAGAAAAGCCUUGAGCUAAUACCUCGAGGUGAUGACGGUACCUGAAGAAUAAGCACCGGCUAACUACGUGCCAGCAGCCGCGGUAAUAC
RNAcentral lists this ribosomal RNA (199 nucleotides) under uncultured bacterium. RNAcentral describes it as "partial 16S ribosomal RNA". It matches the Rfam family "Bacterial small subunit ribosomal RNA", at positions 335 to 526 of the family's 1533-position model. The record is from RNAcentral.